UGCUGGAGGUAUCAGAAGUGCGAAUGCUGACAUAAGUAACGAUAAAGCGGGUGAAAAGCCCGCUCGCCGGAAGACCAAGGGUUCCUGUCCAACGUUAAUCGGGGCAGGGUGAGUCGACCCCUAAGGCGAGGCCGAAAGGCGUAGUCGAUGGGAAACGGGUUAAUAUUCCCGUACUUGGUGUUACUGCGAAGGGGGGACGGAGAAGGCUAUGUUGGCCGGGCGACGGUUGUCCCGGUUUAAGCGUGUAGGUGUGUGUUCCAGGUAAAUCCGGUUCACUUUAACACUGAGGCGUGACGACGAGGCACUACGGUGCUGAAGCAACAAAUGCCCUGCUUCCAGGAAAAGCCUCUAAGCAUCAGGUAACAUCAAAUCGUACCCCAAACCGACACAGGUGGUCAGGUAGAGAAUACCAAGGCGCUUGAGAGAACUCGGGUGAAGGAACUAGGCAAAAUGGUGCCGUAACUUCGGGAGAAGGCACGCUGACACGUAGGUGAAGUGAUUUACUCACGGAGCUGAAGUCAGUCGAAGAUACCAGCUGGCUGCAACUGUUUAUUAAAAACACAGCACUGUGCAAACACGAAAGUGGACGUAUACGGUGUGACGCCUGCCCGGUGCCGGAAGGUUAAUUGAUGGGGUCAGCGCAAGCGAAGCUCCUGAUCGAAGCCCCGGUAAACGGCGGCCGUAACUAUAACGGUCCUAAGGUAGCGAAAUUCCUUGUCGGGUAAGUUCCGACCUGCACGAAUGGCGUAAUGAUGGCCAGGCUGUCUCCACCCGAGACUCAGUGAAAUUGAACUCGCUGUGAAGAUGCAGUGUACCCGCGGCAAGACGGAAAGACCCCGUGAACCUUUACUAUAGCUUGACACUGAACAUUGAGCCUUGAUGUGUAGGAUAGGUGGGAGGCUUUGAAGUGUGGACGCCAGUCUGCGUGGAGCCGACCUUGAAAUACCACCCUUUAAUGUUUGAUGUUCUAACGUGGACCCGUUACCGGGUUGCGGACAGUGUCUGGUGGGUAGUUUGACUGGGGCGGUCUCCUCCUAAAGAGUAACGGAGGAGCACGAAGGUUGGCUAAUCCUGGUCGGACAUCAGGAGGUUAGUGCAAUGGCAUAAGCCAGCUUGACUGCGAGCGUGACGGCGCGAGCAGGUGCGAAAGCAGGUCAUAGUGAUCCGGUGGUUCUGAAUGGAAGGGCCAUCGCUCAACGGAUAAAAGGUACUCCGGGGAUAACAGGCUGAUACCGCCCAAGAGUUCAUAUCGACGGCGGUGUUUGGCACCUCGAUGUCGGCUCAUCACAUCCUGGGGCUGAAGUAGGUCCCAAGGGUAUGGCUGUUCGCCAUUUAAAGUGGUACGCGAGCUGGGUUUAGAACGUCGUGAGACAGUUCGGUCCCUAUCUGCCGUGGGCGCUGGAGAACUGAGGGGGGCUGCUCCUAGUACGAGAGGACCGGAGUGGACGCAUCACUGGUGUUCGGGUUGUCAUGCCAAUGGCACUGCCCGGUAGCUAAAUGCGGAAGAGAUAAGUGCUGAAAGCAUCUAAGCACGAAACUUGCCCCGAGAUGAGUUCU
Molecule: ribosomal RNA, 1557 nt
Filed under: Salmonella enterica subsp. enterica serovar Heidelberg str. CVM24359
Lineage: Bacteria; Pseudomonadati; Pseudomonadota; Gammaproteobacteria; Enterobacterales; Enterobacteriaceae
Description: bacterial LSU rRNA
Rfam family: Bacterial large subunit ribosomal RNA
Source: RNAcentral